This 396-nucleotide ribosomal RNA is filed under the name uncultured bacterium. Its description in RNAcentral is "bacterial SSU rRNA". It matches the Rfam family "Bacterial small subunit ribosomal RNA", at positions 505 to 898 of the family's 1533-position model. The record is from RNAcentral.
GUGCCAGCAGCCGCGGUAAUACGAAGGGUGCUAGCGUUAUUCGGAUUAACUGGGCGUAAAGAGCGUGUCGGCGGUCUUUUAAGUCAACUGUAAAAGAGCUCGGCUUAACCGAGUAAAUGCGGGUGAUACUGGAGGACUAGAGUACGGGAGAGAAAGGUAGAAUUCUCGGAGUAGCGGUAAAAUGCGUAGAUCUCGAGAGGAAUACCGGUUGCGAAGGCGGCCUUUUGGCCCGUAACUGACGCUUAAGCGCGAAAGCGUGGGGAGCAAACAGGAUUAGAUACCCUGGUAGUCCACGCCGUAAACGAUGAUCACUAGAUGUGGGUCGUGCAUAGCAUGAUCUGUGUCGUAGCUAACGCGUUAAGUGAUCCGCCUGGGAAUUACGGUCGCAAGAUUAAA